ACUGAAGGAAAGAAACUUUCCCUUCUAUGCUAGCUAUAAAGAUUUUACUCAAAAUGUGUUUGGACUGACUGCAUCCUGCUCCAAGUAGGCAUGAAUACACAAAACAUAAUGAGCAUCAUUGAGAGUGACUUGGCAUCAAAACGCCAGUUCCACUCAGAGCCCAAAAUGAUGCCUGCUGUGGGAAGUGGGAAAAGUCACUUUCGUGUGCUGGGUAAUAGUGUUCUAAGGGUGACUUUAAGGCACAUCUGAGAUCCUUCAUUUUAAUGAGCGUUUUGAUCAAAAGUUAAAAAAAAGCUUUAACUAAAACAGACGGUUCUUUCACAGUUCAGCGUGAUGUGAAGUUUAUAACCAGACAGAGAAGACUGCUUAGUUUCUAUUCCAAACAGCAAUUUCUGAGCUCUUCAGGACAAUGGGACAACUCACAAAACUCAGUGGCAAGCAAUUCAGAGGCGAAACCAGGAAGACAGUGGUCAAGAAUGUAAAUCAGUGCAUUCACAUUUAUGAAGACAACUGUGCUGAAGCAACAACUGCAGAACAGGACGUGACAUCAGAUGUGUAUGAAGCGUAUUUAGAAAAGUGACCCACUGGAAUUAUCGGUACCUGGUGUUGGUACUUCAGAAGUGUCAAAUGCAGUUUGCAGCAGAGUUCAGUGAAAAAAGAGACCGAAUGAUCAAGUGUGUUAAUAGUUAAUUAAAGUUAUAACUAUAUAACUAUAUAUUGAUGUAAAUUGUUGAUUCUUUGCAUGCGGUUUAUUACAAUUUUCUAAAUGGGAAGCAGUGUGAUAUGAAUAAAUAUAAGUGCACUUUUAAAAACUGUGUACCCUGUGGUAUGACUUUUGAUACCUGCUGUCCGAAGUUAGUUGGCAGCUUACUGCCUUCAGAAAAGGCCAUUCUGUUGAUGACUUUUCUUCUAUUAAUUGGUUUUGCCAGGAGCAACACUGAAGAGUCUAUGGACAUUGCAAUAAGAUUAUAUGAUGUCUGUCCAUUACUGCUUACUUUAAAGAAGCAAUAUUACCUCCACCUCUGCAGAAAUCAGGAUUGGUGAGCUAGGUUUUAGUACCACGAAUGGCAGGGUGAUAAAUGAUCUCAUCAAUGCUGUUCAAAUAAAACAUCCAUUUUGCAUACAGCUCAGUCUUAUAACAAGUUAAUAGAGGAAAGAUUGAAAAUGACAAUAUCUUUGGCAUGCACAAGCACUGUAUUCAUUUUAUGAGCAGCAGUUAUGAUCAGAAUGUAUAUAUGCAGCCUAUAACAAAAUAAAGCAUCUUAAUAUGA
Pristis pectinata (smalltooth sawfish) is the source of this 1271-nucleotide long non-coding RNA. RefSeq lists it as uncharacterized. The transcript is spliced from 3 exons. Lineage: Eukaryota; Metazoa; Chordata; Chondrichthyes; Rhinopristiformes; Pristidae. The record is from RefSeq and is a predicted model, not a curated record.